CCUGGUAUGUAUUAAAAGAUGCCUAUUUAUAGUGUUGCAAUUGUGACUUUGAUAGCCACGUGGCUUAUUACAAGUGUUUGCAUUGGGCCCUAUUUUGAAGGUAGUCAUAAACUCACCAUAAACCUAUCACAAGUUGGUUCUCGCUAAGGUAUCUUCGACUUGCAUCAUUGUUGAGCUUGUCGCCAACAAAUUAUCCUUAGGUGAACCAAUAUGCGUAGUCGCAUGCCAUAAAAUGUCCACGAUGUGCAAAGUUGAUAUUUAUCCUAAAACAAUUUUAUACUAAAAUACCCCUAACUAGUUACUACCUUUGUUCUGAUGCAUAUUGUCUAUUGGUUUAUCAAUAUACUCUAAAGAAAAAUCUGAAAUUUAAAAUUAUUCUUUCCGAAAAACUUAAUGGUGGUGGCACAAAAAGUUUGUGGGGUGCAAGAAUUAAGACCCUUAUACUAAUGUUAUGGAUUUUUUUUUUUGAAUACUAAUGUCAUAGCUUUGAACCGACAGCCCAAUGUUGUACAUGUUUAGUGUGAAAGGUUACCUAUUAUUUGAAGUCACUAUAAUUUAGGCCUUUUUUGUUUAACAAAGAGAAGAAUGCUUGUGACAUCAUAGUAGGAAAAGGCAACACAAUUAUUUUUGCACUCCUACCCGUGAUCCUAUGUCGCCACAAGCAUACCAAAGAAUUUAUUGACAAAAAGAGAGAAAAAUAACACCUGAGGGGAACAAAUCAAACCCAAGAAAAGAACCUAUUUAAAUUGGUAAGUUAUGCCUUAGACGAUGUAUUAUGUAUACACACUUAUUAGGAUGAGGCAUAUUCCAUAUGUAUUGUAAGGGUGGAUGAUGUAGCUCCAUGUGGAGCUUGUAGGCCUUGAAUUUUCUUCACCAAUGAAGUCAUUUGCUUCUUGAAGAUGAAUGGCAGCGGAAUGGAGAAUGAAGGAAGAUGAUUGGAGACGCCACUUCAAGGAGAAGAUGAGUCAAGAACAAGUUCACCACCUUAGGAAGCCAUGGAUAAAAGCUUAAACAUAGGAGAAGAUGAGUGGAAGGAGAAGGAGAGAAGGAACACGAAAUUUUAUGCUUCAAAUGAGGUCUAAACUUUGAAGUGUAAUUCUCAAAUGAUCAAAGUUUCAAAAAUGAUCAAAGUGUCACACAAAAUUGGAGGGAAAUUUGAAUUUCUAUUCAAAUUUCACAUGAAUUUGUGGAGUCAAAUUUUGGAGCCAAAAUUUCACUAUUAUGAUUAGUGAAUUUUAGCUAUGGUUCAGCCCACUAAUCCAAGAUCAAGUCAGAAAUUCUUCACUGAUUGUACUUAUGUGUCAUGAGGCAUGCAAAACAUGAAAGACAUGCAAAAAGUGUGACUAUAUGAUGUGACAAUGAGGUGUAGCAAACAAAUACUCACCCCCCCUCUAAAAUUUAAUUGGAUUGGACUUCUCCCAAUUCAAUUAAAUUUAUUUCCCAACACAUACAUCAAAUAUUCACUUAAUGCAUGUGAAAUUAGAAAACUACCCCUAAUACAAAAACUAGUCUAGAUGCCUUAAAAUACAAGGGUUGAAAAAUCCUACAUUUCUAGGGUACCCUACCUACAUUAUGGAGCCCUAAACACAAAACCUAAAAAUAAUGAAAUCUUAAUCUAAUAUGUGCAAAGAUAAGUGGACCCAACCUUGGUCCAUGAACUCAAAAAUCUAUCCUGAUGUUCAUGAGAAUCUUAGGACUUUCUUUAAUAGCUCUAGCCCAAUUCUCCUAGAGUCUCUUGCUCAUGGCUCCGGUGACUGAUCUUUUCCUAGAGAGGAUUACAUAAGUGGAAGCAGUCUGCUGGCACCAUGCGAGUUUUGUGGCUAACUUUUUGCAC
This 1834-nucleotide long non-coding RNA is filed under the name Glycine max (soybean). RNAcentral describes it as "long non-coding RNA (GMAX_LNC003238)". Lineage: Eukaryota; Viridiplantae; Streptophyta; Magnoliopsida; Fabales; Fabaceae. The record is from RNAcentral.